This 449-nucleotide ribosomal RNA is filed under the name uncultured bacterium. RNAcentral describes it as "bacterial SSU rRNA". It matches the Rfam family "Bacterial small subunit ribosomal RNA", at positions 330 to 794 of the family's 1533-position model. The record is from RNAcentral.
UCCAGACUCCUACGGGAGGCAGCAGUGGGGAAUAUUGGGCAAUGGACGCAAGUCUGACCCAGCAACGCCGCGUGAAGGAAGAAGGCUUUCGGGUUGUAAACUUCUUUUAAGGGGGAAGAGCAGGAGACGGUACCCCUUGAAUAAGCCACGGCUAACUACGUGCCAGCAGCCGCGGUAAUACGUAGGUGGCAAGCGUUGUCCGGAUUUACUGGGUGUAAAGGGCGCGUAGGUGGGCGCUUAAGUCAGGUGUGAAAACUCCGGGCUCAACCUGGAGACUGCACUUGAAACUGGGUGUCUUGAGGGCAGGAGAGGAAAGUGGAAUUCCUAGUGUAGCGGUGAAAUGCGUAGAUAUUAGGAGGAACACCAGUGGCGAAGGCGACUUUCUGGACUGUACCUGACGCUGAGGCGCGAAAGCGUGGGUAGCGAACGGGAUUAGAUACCCCGGUAGC